ACGGGAUGGACAGGGUGAGGAAAGGCUGGUAAGCCCCAAGCCCUGAAGUCAGGGAGGCCAUGUACCUGUCACACGAUGGGGCACAGUGCAGGAGGGUCACCACAACAUCAGCAGGGUGUGCCUCAGUCACCCUCAGAAACUCCGCCAGCAGCUUCUCUUCUGGAGUUGCGUUGGCUGUCAGUCUCUGGUGCACGUUCCUGAUGAAGGUUGGCACCUGGAGGAGGCAUGGGGGAAGAGCUGCCAACUUGCCCAGCUUCUCUGACAAGUACUUCCCUUCCCACCACACUGUGCUGGCCUCAAAGGCUGAGAGGGCCCAGGGGAGCUCACUUGAGGGGCCACAACCCCUGGAGUGGCUUGAGCCCUGGACACAGGCUGCUUACUUGCUCUGGACUGGAGACACCAUUCUCCUCAAAAAUAUCUGGAGUGGGAGCAUAAUUCACACUCUCCGUGGGCACGAGGUCAGUGUCUGGAGUGCCCUCGGUCAUUGCAGCGUUGGCCUCCACAGCAAGAUCAGGCAGUGCAGCGUCAGAGUUUGUCGGUUCAUCGCUCAACACGAUGUCAGAGAUUGCAUUGCGAUCGAUCGAUGGGCUCUCAGUGUCUGUCGUAUCAUCAGGCAAAGCAGGGUCAGACUUUGUUGUGUGAACAGUCGGCGACACGUCACAGUUUCCUGUGCCAUCAGUCAGUGCGGUGGUGACAUCAGAGUCCGCCUUGAGCUCAGUCGGGCUGGGGUCCGGCUGUGCCACGACCUCAGUUGGGCUGGUUGUGGUCCUUUUACGCCGAAUGCCCACGAAUUUCAGAAAGGUCUGCAGAAGAACGGAGAGCAGGGAGGAGAGGGACGUGCCAUGGUGAGUUCUGACAGAGGUGCCAGCCUGAGCAGUGACAGCAGGCCCAGCCCAGAGGCCAUGGCUGCAGGUACCUGUGCUGCCCUGCGGAAGCGGCCACGGGCACGGUCCUGCUCUUGUGUCCGGUCCCGGUCUGGGUCUGGCAAAGAGCGAGCACAGUCAGAGCUGAGGGGCUGUGGGACAGGCCGGAGAACACGGUCCAGCCCUGCGUUCCACAGGCAGGGCCAGCCCCGGCAUUCCCAGUGCAUGGAGCUGCCGGGGGAACAGUCCCGGGCCCUCUCCCCCCCUCCCUUUCCCUGGUCAUGUCCCCAGGAGACGGGAUGGGAUGAGGCACAGCCAGCUGCAGCCACCAGCCCUGUGGCCCAGUCGUGCCACUCACCUUCCUGCAGGGGA
RNAcentral lists this long non-coding RNA (1235 nucleotides) under Manacus vitellinus (golden-collared manakin). Its description in RNAcentral is "lncRNA (ENSMVIG00005003466.1)". Lineage: Eukaryota; Metazoa; Chordata; Aves; Passeriformes; Pipridae. The record is from RNAcentral.